Molecule: ribosomal RNA, 327 nt
Filed under: Blastocystis sp.
Lineage: Eukaryota; Bigyra; Opalinata; Blastocystidae
Description: SSU rRNA
Rfam family: Eukaryotic small subunit ribosomal RNA
Source: RNAcentral
UGUACAACUUUUAUCGAUAAGCCAUUGGAGGGCAAGUCUGGUGCCAGCAGCCGCGGUAAUUCCAGCUCCAAUAGCGUAUAUUAACGUUGUUGCAGUUAAAAAGCUCGUAGUUGAAGUGUGGGUGGUGCUGUCUGAAUGACUUCGGUUAGUCAGAUGAUCACUACCCCCUUCCAGUAUCCAGUAGUGGGUAUUCAGUUACUUACUAUUGUGUGUUGGUCGUUUACUGUGAGAAAAUUAGAGUGUUCAAAGCAGGCGUUUGCUUGAAUAGAUUAGCAUGGAAUAAUAAUUGAAGGCUUUCGUGUUCGAUUUGAUUGGUUUGUUCAUGGA